This 69-nucleotide transfer RNA is filed under the name Neophema chrysogaster (Orange-bellied parrot). RNAcentral describes it as "tRNA-Lys". Lineage: Eukaryota; Metazoa; Chordata; Aves; Psittaciformes; Psittacidae. The record is from RNAcentral.
CAUUAAGAAGCUAUGUACCAGCGCUAGCCUUUUAAGCUAGUCAAAGAGGGCAAAGCCCCUCCUUAAUGA